GAUGAAGAACGCAGCGAAAUGCGAUAAGUAAUGUGAAUUGCAGAAUUCAGUGAAUCAUCGAAUCUUUGAACGCACAUUGCGCCCGCCAGUAUUCUGGCGGGCAUGCCUGUCCGAGCGUCAUUUCAACCCUCGAGCCCCUCCGGGGGGUCGGCGUUGGGGAUCGGCCCCUCACCGGGCCGCCCCCGAAGUACAGUGGCGGUCUCGCCGCAGCCUCUCCUGCGCAGUAGUUUGCACACUCGCACCGGGAGCGCGGCGCGGCCACAGCCGUAAAACACCCCAAGCAUUCUGAAAUGUUGACCUCGGAUCAGGUAGGAAUACCCGCUGAACUUAAGCAUAUCAAUAAGCGGAGGA
Molecule: unclassified non-coding RNA, 351 nt
Filed under: soil metagenome
Description: partial contains 5.8S ribosomal RNA, internal transcribed spacer 2, and large subunit ribosomal RNA
Rfam family: 5.8S ribosomal RNA (bases 1-120)
Source: RNAcentral